RNAcentral lists this ribosomal RNA (356 nucleotides) under Clostridioides difficile. RNAcentral's name for it is "partial 23S ribosomal RNA". It matches the Rfam family "Bacterial large subunit ribosomal RNA", at positions 2497 to 2855 of the family's 2925-position model. Lineage: Bacteria; Bacillati; Bacillota; Clostridia; Peptostreptococcales; Peptostreptococcaceae. The record is from RNAcentral.
AGUCCACAUCGACGGGGGGGUUUGGCACCUCGAUGUCGGCUCAUCACAUCCUGGGGCUGUAGUAGGUCCCAAGGGUUGGGCUGUUCGCCCAUUAAAGUGGUACGCGAGCUGGGUUCAGAACGUCGUGAGACAGUUCGGUCCCUAUCCGGCGCAGGCGUAGGAAAUUUGAGAAGACCUGUCCUUAGUACGAGAGGACCGGGAUGGACGUACCUCUGGUGUACCAGUUGUCCUGCCAAGGGCAUGGCUGGGUAGCUAUGUACGGAAUGGAUAAGCGCUGAAAGCAUCUAAGCGCGAAGCCAACUUCAAGAUAAGAUUUCCCACCGCAAGGGUAAGACCCCAGAAAGACUAUCUGGUUG